AUCCUGGGGGUGGAUGGGGAAUCCAGGAGUCAGGUUAAAUGUCACAGGGCUCCAUGUUGAUUUGACCCCUGACCUAGCUUUGGACGGCGAGUGGGCAGACCUUACCUGUGGCUCCUGCUUCUUGAGUGAAAAUCCCACCUACACCUGGUACAGGGACAAACAGCCUUUGAACUACACCAACAAGGUCAGGGUUAUGGCCAACUACCUGGAACUAGACCCGGUAAGCAGGGAAGAUGCAGGCAGCUACUCCUGUGCGGUGAGCAGCAGAGAGGAUUCCCUGGUCCGGCAGUGGUCCUUGUAGUGGGAUACUUCCCAAAGAACACCUCAGUGUCAGUCACAGUCAGUCCCUCUGGUGAAAUAGUGGAGGGCAGAUCAGUGACUCUGACCUGCAGCAGGGAUGCCAAGUCCCCAGUGGACAAAUACACCUGGUACAAGAAGAAUGAAGAACGGACGGGGUUCUCAGAAAAAGGAUCAGGGCAGAGUUACAUCAUCCUUAAAAUGAGCAAUGAGGACAGUGGGCAGUACUUCUGUAAGGCUGAGAAUCAAUACGGACCACUUGACUCUGCAACUGUGCAUCUCAGUAUAGCAGGUAAACCAGUGUUUCCCUGGGCUCCCGUUGUGGGGGUGGUGGCUGUGUUGGCAGCUGGAGCUCUGCUCGUCAUCCUCUAUGGCACACUGAAGAAGAGGUGA
Molecule: long non-coding RNA, 690 nt
Organism: Oncorhynchus gorbuscha (pink salmon)
Lineage: Eukaryota; Metazoa; Chordata; Actinopteri; Salmoniformes; Salmonidae
Exons: 4
Source: RefSeq, a predicted model, not a curated record